GAUGAACGCUGGCGGCGUGCCUAAUACAUGCAAGUCGAACGGGGAGUAGCAAUACUCUUAGGGGCGAACGGGGGAGGAACGCGAUGGUACCUUCCCCGAAGCGGGGGAUAACGUACCGAAAGGUGCACUAAUACCCCAAGUGCACGGGAACGAGUAAAGGGGGAAACGACUUUGGGAGGGGCGUUCGUCCCAUCCGCUAGCGGGUAAGGUAACGGCGUCCUAAGGCGAUGACGGGUAGGGGACCUGUGAGGGUGGCCCCCCACAAUUGAACUGAAACACGGUCCAGAAACGUACGCGUGGCAGGCGUAGGUAAUAUAGGUAAUGGGCGCACGCCUGAACCACCAACGGGGCGUGAGCGGUGACGGCCUUCGGGUUGUAGAGUCCUUUUGACAGGGACGAGGAAGGACGGUACCGGACGAAUAAGCAUCGGCUAACUACGUG
This 441-nucleotide ribosomal RNA is filed under the name uncultured bacterium. Its description in RNAcentral is "partial 16S ribosomal RNA". It matches the Rfam family "Bacterial small subunit ribosomal RNA", at positions 28 to 507 of the family's 1533-position model. The record is from RNAcentral.